CACAGAUGGAGCUAACGGGGAGCCUCCAAGAGGUAAUAAGGCAUCACAGACGGAGCUAACGGGGAGCCUGCAAGAGGUAAUAAGGCAUCACAGAUGGAGCUAACGGGGAGCCUCCAAGAGGUAAUAAGGCAUCACAGAUGUAACUAAUGACU
Non-coding RNA from Procambarus clarkii (red swamp crayfish), 152 nucleotides. NCBI's taxonomy places the organism in Eukaryota, Metazoa, Arthropoda, Malacostraca, Decapoda, Cambaridae. The record is from RefSeq and is a predicted model, not a curated record.